CUGCCAAGAAUAGUAUGUUGCUAACAGUCCAAACAAAAAUGAUAUCAUUGAGGCCUUGAAGUUCUAUAUAUGCUUGGCAGUCAUAUUUUGAAUUAUCUUACCUAGAGAACAGCCUGACACAAAACACCUAUAGAGUUGAACCAGAGGCCAGGGCCUUCAAGACAACAGUCUAUUGGAGCUUCGACUGAGCCGAUGGAGGACACGUCUGUUGUCGACGAUGAAGCUAUGGCGGAUGUUGUUUCGGUAACAGGCCUGCUCAUGAUGCUAUUCAAGAAUAGUGUUUUAAUUAAGCGAGGAAGAUGACUCUAUGGAAACAAUACCCAAAAUUCUCAAGUAUAAUUGUGAAAUUAAAGAAGCAAAUGGGAUUCUUGAUGAGUCAUUUGCUGUAAAUGUUGAAGAAAGAAGCAAGUUUAAUAUGCUUUUAAGGUACUAAAAAUGGGCAACAAACUGAAGUAUUAGUUGUUUUUUAAUAGACACCUUGGGAUUCUGGGGAACUAUUUUGUUAUGUAGAUACAAAAGCCUAUUAUUAUGAGAUGUAAUAUUCAUUCAGAGUUUGUUGGAUUUUCUUUGUAUAUGAUGAAUUUGACUUGAUUUGGUUGGAUAUUGUGGAUAAA
Molecule: long non-coding RNA, 614 nt
Organism: Helianthus annuus (common sunflower)
Lineage: Eukaryota; Viridiplantae; Streptophyta; Magnoliopsida; Asterales; Asteraceae
Exons: 2
Source: RefSeq, a predicted model, not a curated record